This 253-nucleotide ribosomal RNA is filed under the name uncultured bacterium. RNAcentral's name for it is "partial 16S ribosomal RNA". It matches the Rfam family "Bacterial small subunit ribosomal RNA", at positions 524 to 776 of the family's 1533-position model. The record is from RNAcentral.
UACGUAGGGUGCGAGCGUUAAUCGGAAUUACUGGGCGUAAAGCGUGCGCAGGCGGUUUUGUAAGCCAGAUGUGAAAUCCCCGGGCUCAACCUGGGAAUGGCAUUUGGGACUGGAAGGCUGGAGUUUGGCAGAGGAGACUGGAAUUCCUGGUGUAGCAGUGAAAUGCGUAGAUAUCAGGAGGAAUACCGAUGGCGAAGGCAGGUCUCUGGGCUAUAACUGACGCUCAUGCACGAAAGCGUGGGGAGCAAACAGG